ACACGACUACAUUAGAUACCCCUGUAGUCCUAGCCGUAAACGAUACUCGCUAGGUGUCGGCCACGGUGCGACCGUUGUCGGUGCCGUAGGGAAGCCGUGAAGCGAGCCACCUGGGAAGUACGGCCGCAAGGCUGAAACUUAAAGGAAUUGGCGGGGGAGCACAACAACGGGUGGAGCUUGCGGUUUAAUUGGACUCAACGCCGGAAAACUCAUCGGGAGCGACAGCAGUAUGAUUGCCAGGUUGAUGACCUUGCUUGACGAGCUG
Molecule: ribosomal RNA, 265 nt
Filed under: uncultured archaeon
Lineage: Archaea
Description: partial 16S ribosomal RNA
Rfam family: Archaeal small subunit ribosomal RNA
Source: RNAcentral